This 78-nucleotide transfer RNA is filed under the name Bacillota bacterium. RNAcentral describes it as "Firmicutes bacterium (anaerobic digester metagenome) tRNA-His". It matches the Rfam family "tRNA". Rfam says of the family: Transfer RNA (tRNA) molecules are approximately 80 nucleotides in length. Their secondary structure includes four short double-helical elements and three loops (D, anti-codon, and T loops). The record is from RNAcentral. Lineage: Bacteria; Bacillati; Bacillota.
GUGGGCGUAGUUCAGCUGGUCCAGAACGCCAGGUUGUGGCCCUGGAGGUCAUGGGUUCAAAUCCCAUCGCUCACCCCA